Molecule: long non-coding RNA, 632 nt
Filed under: Hordeum vulgare
Lineage: Eukaryota; Viridiplantae; Streptophyta; Magnoliopsida; Poales; Poaceae
Description: long non-coding RNA (HVUL_LNC021401)
Source: RNAcentral
UGGGACCAACACUCAUGGGGAGCACUGGCCCGGGUUGUUAAUUAAAUUCCUCGGGGUAGCUAUUCCCUAUGCAGAUUAUUAUGUGAUAAGCAGUUUAAAACCAAAGUUGGGUCCUGCCAGACAAGCCUUAACACUACGCGAUUUAUCAAGGGGGUCCCCAUAACAACCCCGAACGUGUUAGGAGCGAUCAAUAUGGAAUCAAACACCGGUAACCGGCAACUAAGGCGGCAAUAACGGAACAAGACACCCGGCAAAAGGCUAGGCCUCCCGUCAUUUACCAAGUAUAUAGAUACAUUAAUUAAAUAACAGAAAUUAAUAUAAUGAUAUCAAUCUCAUGUCAUCACAUGAGUUUAAAUCACCUGCAACUAACAACGCUAACGUUAGUAGCUGAGCAAGCCUACCUAGCCAUGCAAGUUUGCUAGGAAAGAGUAAGGUGUUUAGGCUCAUGGCAUAUGAAGAGGCAAUAUAUUUUCAGUGAUAGGCAGCGAGCAAUAUGACGUGGAAUCUAAACUAACAUAACAAGUCUAGUUAUGGGAUCAAGGUCAUGUCAUCUUGCCUGUGAUAUCCUCAGCUUGGAAUGGUUCUGGAUCGUCCUGCACGUACUCUCCUGACUCCACAUAAUCGGUCUCCGC